ACUACCCGCUGAACUUAAGCAUAUCAAUAAGCGGAGGAAAAGAAACCAACAGGGAUUGCCUCAGUAACGGCGAGUGAAGCGGCAAAAGCUCAAAUUUGAAAUCCCCCGGGAAUUGUAAUUUGAAGAGAUUUGGGUCCGGCCGGCGGGGGUUAAGUCCACUGGAAAGUGGCGCCACAGAGGGUGACAGCCCCGUGAACCCCUUCAACGCCUUCAUCCCAGAUCUCCAAGAGUCGAGUUGUUUGGGAAUGCAGCUCUAAGUGGGUGGUAAAUUCCAUCUAAAGCUAAAUACCGGCGAGAGACCGAUAGCGAACAAGUACAGUGAUGGAAAGAUGAAAAGCACUUUGAAAAGAGAGUGAAAAAGUACGUGAAAUUGUUGAAAGGGAAGGGCUUGCAAGCAGACACUUAACUGGGCCAGCAUCGGGGCGGCGGGGAGCAAAACCACCGGGGAAUGUACCUUUCGAGGAUUAUAACCCCGGCCCUUACUCCCAUACUGCCCCGAGGCCUGCAAUCUAAGGAU
This 517-nucleotide ribosomal RNA is filed under the name uncultured Metschnikowiaceae. RNAcentral's name for it is "eukaryotic LSU rRNA". It matches the Rfam family "Eukaryotic large subunit ribosomal RNA", at positions 20 to 480 of the family's 3401-position model. Lineage: Eukaryota; Fungi; Ascomycota; Saccharomycetes. The record is from RNAcentral.